ACCUGGAAUAGCACAACUGGUAGAGCACAAGACUCGUAAUCUCAGGGUUGUGGGUUUGAGCCCACGCUGGGCA
Podarcis lilfordi (Lilford's wall lizard) is the source of this 73-nucleotide non-coding RNA. The record is from the annotation of a GenBank genome assembly. Lineage: Eukaryota; Metazoa; Chordata; Lepidosauria; Squamata; Lacertidae.